CCUACGGGUGGCAGCAGUCGAGAAUCAUUCACAAUGGGGGAAACCCUGAUGGUGCGACGCCGCGUGGGGGAAUGAAGGUCUUCGGAUUGUAAACCCCUGUCAUGUGGGAGCAAAUUAAAAAGAUAGUACCACAAGAGGAAGAGACGGCUAACUCUGUGCCAGCAGCCGCGGUAAUACAGAGGUCUCAAGCGUUGUUCGGAAUCACUGGGCGUAAGGCGUGCGUAGGCUGUUUCGUAAGUCGUGUGUGAAAGGCGCGGGCUCAACCCGCGGACGGCACAUGAUACUGCGAGACUAGAGUAAUGGAGGGGGAACCGGAAUUCUCAGUGUAGCAGUGAAAUGCGUAGAUAUCGAGAGGAACACUCGUGGCGAAGGCGGGUUCCUGGACAUUAACUGACGCUGAGGCACGAAGGCCAGGGGAGCGAAAGGGAUUAGAUACCCGAGUAGUC
RNAcentral lists this ribosomal RNA (446 nucleotides) under uncultured bacterium. RNAcentral's name for it is "partial 16S ribosomal RNA". It matches the Rfam family "Bacterial small subunit ribosomal RNA", at positions 338 to 795 of the family's 1533-position model. The record is from RNAcentral.